GACGGGGGAUGCAAGCGUUAUCCGGAAUCACUGGGCGUAAAGCGUCUGUAGGUGGUGAUGCAAGUCACUGGUGCAAAACUCUGGCUCAACCGGAGGAAAGCCAGUGAAACUGCAUGACUAGAGUGUGGGAGAGGUAGAAGGAAUUCCCUGAGUAGCGGUGAAAUGCGUAGAUACAUGGCAGAACACCUGAGGCGAAAGCGUUCUACUGGAACACAACUGACACUGAGAGACGAAAGCUAGGGGAGCGAAUGGG
RNAcentral lists this ribosomal RNA (253 nucleotides) under uncultured bacterium. Its description in RNAcentral is "partial 16S ribosomal RNA". It matches the Rfam family "Bacterial small subunit ribosomal RNA", at positions 524 to 776 of the family's 1533-position model. The record is from RNAcentral.